RNAcentral lists this ribosomal RNA (895 nucleotides) under Apilactobacillus kunkeei. RNAcentral's name for it is "bacterial SSU rRNA". It matches the Rfam family "Bacterial small subunit ribosomal RNA", at positions 622 to 1503 of the family's 1533-position model. The record is from RNAcentral. Lineage: Bacteria; Bacillati; Bacillota; Bacilli; Lactobacillales; Lactobacillaceae.
GCAGUGGGAAACUACAAAACUUGAGUACAGAAGAGGAAAGUGGAACUCCAUGUGUAGCGGUGAAAUGCGUAGAUAUAUGGAAGAACACCAGUGGCGAAGGCGGCUUUCUGGUCUGUUACUGACGCUGAGGCUCGAAAGCAUGGGUAGCGAACAGGAUUAGAUACCCUGGUAGUCCAUGCCGUAAACGAUGAAUACUAGGUGUUGGAGGGUUUCCGCCCUUCAGUGCCGCAGCUUAACGCAUUAAGUAUUCCGCCUGGGGAGUACGACCGCAAGGUUGAAACUCAAAGGAAUUGACGGGGGCCCCGCACAAGUGGUGGAGCAUGUGGUUUAAUUCGGAUGCUACGCGAAGAACCUUACCAGCUCUUGACAUCUUCUGCCAACCCAAGAAGAUUGGGCGUUCCCUUCGGGGACAGAAUGACAGGUGGUGCAUGGUUGUCGUCAGCUCGUGUCGUGAGAUGUUGGGUUAAGUCCCGCAACGAGCGCAACCCUUAUUAUUAGUUGCCAGCAUUUAGUUGGGCACUCUAGUGAGACUGCCGGUGAUAAACCGGAGGAAGGUGGGGACGACGUCAAAUCAUCAUGCCCCUUAUGAGCUGGGCUACACACGUGCCUACAAUGGAUGGUACAACGAGUUCGCGAAACCGCGAGGUCAAGCUAAUCUCUUAAAAGCCAUUCUCAGUUCGGGAUUUGCAGGCUGCAAACUCGCCUGCAUGAAAGUUGGAAUCACUAGUAAUCGUGGGAUCACAUGCCACGGGUGAAUACGUUUCCCGGGCCUUUGUACACACCGCCCGUCACACCAUGAGAGUUUGUAACACCCAAAGACGAUGGGGUAACCUUUUAGGAGCUAGUCUCUAACGUGGGACAGAUGAUUACGGUGAAGUCGUACAGGGUUAACCGU